UUGGCCUGGAUCUGGUACCUCGAGUGGACGGUGCCAUGGUAGACGUGGACGCCGUGGGGGCCGUUAAGCUCUACCAGCUUCACGUCCAGAGUCGGGAGUCUUCUUUGAGCCAAGCAACUCGAGGCUGGCUUGUCGACGCAGCAGUAGUCGCGUCAUCCCAGGCACACGACCGCGCGCUCUGAACCAUCACUUGUUCUUCUGCAUGCGUGACAUGAGCUAUCACGUGGGCGAGGACUCAGAGGUCUUCUUCUCUUUGUACGACGCUUCCCGUCAGCGCUUCAUCAGUGAACGCUUCCUGGUCCGCCUCACCAAGGAAGGAUUUGCUAACUACAUCGACCGUGUCACCAGCAACUGCACGCUUU
Hyalella azteca is the source of this 362-nucleotide long non-coding RNA. RefSeq lists it as uncharacterized. The record is from RefSeq and is a predicted model, not a curated record. NCBI's taxonomy places the organism in Eukaryota, Metazoa, Arthropoda, Malacostraca, Amphipoda, Hyalellidae. The transcript is spliced from 3 exons.